AAGCAACGCGAAGAACCUUACCAGGUCUUGACAUCCCGCUGACCGGCAUGGAGACAUGCCUUCCCCUUCGGGGGCAGCGGUGACAGGUGGUGCAUGGUUGUCGUCAGCUCGUGUCGUGAGAUGUUGGGUUAAGUCCCGCAACGAGCGCAACCCUUGAUCUUAGUUGCCAGCAUUCAGUUGGGCACUCUAAGGUGACUGCCGGUGACAAACCGGAGGAAGGUGGGGAUGACGUCAAAUCAUCAUGCCCCUUAUGACCUGGGCUACACACGUGCUACAAUGGAUGGUACAAAGGGCUGCAAGACCGCGAGGUUUAGCCAAUCCCAUAAAACCAUUCUCAGUUCGGAUUGCAGGCUGCAACUCGCCUGCAUGAAGCUGGAAUCGCUAGUAAUCGCGGAUCAGCAUGCCGCGGUGAAUACGUUCCCGGGCCUUGUACACACCGCCCGUCACACCACGAGAGUUUGCAACACCCGAAGUCGGUGGGGUAACCCUUACGGGAGCCAGCCGCCGAAGGUGGGGCAGAUGAUUGGG
Molecule: ribosomal RNA, 528 nt
Filed under: uncultured bacterium
Lineage: Bacteria
Description: bacterial SSU rRNA
Rfam family: Bacterial small subunit ribosomal RNA
Source: RNAcentral